RNAcentral lists this ribosomal RNA (468 nucleotides) under uncultured bacterium. RNAcentral's name for it is "SSU rRNA". It matches the Rfam family "Bacterial small subunit ribosomal RNA", at positions 26 to 518 of the family's 1533-position model. The record is from RNAcentral.
AGGACUAACGCUGGCGGCGUGCCUAACACAUGCAAGUCGAACGAGGGGUAGCAAUACCCCUAGUGGCAGACGGGUGAGUAACACGUAGUCAACCUACCUCUUAAUGGGGGAUAACUAGCCGAAAGGUUAGCUAAUACCGCAUACGAUCGUCGAGUGGCAUCACACGACGAUGAAAGGAGCAAUCCGUUGAGAGAGGGGACUGCGUCCCAUUAGUUAGUUGGUGGGGUAAUGGCCUACCAAGACUCCGAUGGGUAGCUGGCUUGAGAGAGCGACCAGCCACACUGGAACUGAGACACGGUCCAGACUCCUACGGGAGGCAGCAGUGAGGAAUUUUCCGCAAUGGGGGAAACCCUGACGGAGCGACGCCGCGUGUGGGAAGAAGGCCUUCGGGUCGUAAACCACUGUCGAGGGGACGAUAUUGACGGUACCCCUGGAGGAAGCCCCGGCUAACUACGCGCUAGCAGCCGC